GAUUAUUUCUAUUAGCUUAACAUUGAUUGAACAAUCUAAAACCAUUAUGAAGUCAGUAUUUUUAGUGUUCAGAUUUACUGUUUGUUUCCUUUCUUGAAAUGGAUUCUUCAGAAGACAUAUUUGAAUUGAAAUUAUUGUAUGCCUUAAAGCCUCUGACCUUCUGUUCAUAAUAGUACAUGAAUAAGCACAGUAUCCCAUCCUCCUAUGUAGCAUUAAUGUAAAGGAAAUGUAUGAAAAGGGAAAAGGGGGUUCUUAGUGUCCAGAGAUAAAAACACAAGAGCAAAUCCUUGCCCACCACUGCAACUGUAAUAUUGUUAGAUUUUGCAGCUAAACUGAAAACAAAAAUUGAAAGCCACUCAGGAAAGAUAUGAAACUCAACAGUGCAAUAAUGGUUCAGAUUCUUAUGCAAUUUAAGGUUGAAAUCAAAUCCAAAUGUGUCUCAUAAGCUUGCUGUCCCCAUUUGCAUAUGAUUUUUUUCUUUUUCUCUAGAAAGACCACAAAGACAUUCAAAUUCAAGUCUUCAUUGGUACUUUGGGAGCAAUUAAUCCAACUUGUGUUAAAACAGUACCACAAGGGACCUCUACCCAAAACCAGUACUGAAAAGAAGAAACGGGUCACAAAUUGGGUUUACAAAGAGGGUACCCUGUACCAUCGUAAGGGGGAUGAAAGCAGAGAGUUAAGACCUCACCUUCAACACUAUGACAAUCUUUAGCCCCUACUCUGCAGAGAGCAGUGACAGGAAGUGCUGAAUCCUCAAAAUGUGACCUAGAAGGAGAAAAUGAAAGUUUAUUUAUUCAACGGAAGAAAGAAAGGAAAAAAUAUAUAUAUUUAAAAUAGGGAAGAGAAGCCUGCAGGAAGACUUUAUAUAUGGCCAUAAGCUGCAAGGUGGGAGAACUCUGGGAAGAGAAAAAAAAAAAAAGACCCACAAAGUGAGAUGUAGGGGAAAGGGGAAAGAAUACACACACACACAUACACAAAAUAAAUAAUAAAAUAAAAUAAAAUAAAAUAAAAUA
RNAcentral lists this long non-coding RNA (1013 nucleotides) under Anas platyrhynchos platyrhynchos (common mallard). RNAcentral's name for it is "lncRNA (ENSAPLG00000017860.1)". The record is from RNAcentral. Lineage: Eukaryota; Metazoa; Chordata; Aves; Anseriformes; Anatidae.